This 540-nucleotide ribosomal RNA is filed under the name uncultured Actinomycetes bacterium. RNAcentral's name for it is "bacterial SSU rRNA". It matches the Rfam family "Bacterial small subunit ribosomal RNA", at positions 356 to 914 of the family's 1533-position model. Lineage: Bacteria; Bacillati; Actinomycetota; Actinomycetes. The record is from RNAcentral.
UGGGAAUUGCGCAUGGGCGAAGCCUGACGCAGCGACGCCGCGUGGGGGAUGAAGGCCUUCGGGUCGUAAACCCCUUUCAGCAGGGACGAAAUUGACGGUACCUGCAGAAGAAGCGCCGGCCAACUACGUGCCAGCAGCCGCGGUAAUACGUAGGGCGCAAGCGUUGUCCGGAUUCAUUGGGCGUAAAGGGCUCGUAGGCGGUUUGGUAAGUCGGGUGUGAAAACUCACGGCUCAACUCUGAGACGCCACUCGAUACUGCCAUGACUAGAGUCCGGUAGAGGAGUGUAGAAUUCCUGGUGUAGCGGUGAAAUGCGCAGAUAUCAGGAGGAAUACCGAUGGCGAAGGCAGCACUCUGGGCCGGUACUGACGCUGAGGAGCGAAAGCGUGGGGAGCAAACAGGAUUAGAUACCCUGGUAGUCCACGCCGUAAACGUUGGGCACUAGGUGUGGGUCCUAUCCAACGGGAUCCGUGCCGUAGCUAACGCAUUAAGUGCCCCGCCUGGGGAGUACGGCCGCAAGGCUAAAACUCAAAGGAAUUGAC